RNAcentral lists this ribosomal RNA (496 nucleotides) under uncultured bacterium. RNAcentral describes it as "partial 16S ribosomal RNA". It matches the Rfam family "Bacterial small subunit ribosomal RNA", at positions 30 to 523 of the family's 1533-position model. The record is from RNAcentral.
AUUGAACGCUGGCGGAAUGCUUUACACAUGCAAGUCGAACGGUAGAGGGGGCAACCCCUCGAGAGUGGCGAACGGGUGAGUAAUAUAUCGGAACGUGCCCAGUCGUGGGGGAUAACGUAGCGAAAGUUACGCUAAUACCGCAUACGAUCUAAGGAUGAAAGCGGGGGAUCGCAAGACCUCGCGCGAUUGGAGCGGCCGAUAUCAGAUUAGGUAGUUGGUGGGGUAAAGGCUCACCAAGCCAACGAUCUGUAGCUGGUCUGAGAGGACGACCAGCCACACUGGAACUGGAACACGGUCCAGAGUCCUACGGGAGGCAGCAGUGGGGAAUUUUGGACAAUGGACGCAAGUCUGAUCCAGCCAUUCCGCGUGCAGGAUGAAGGCCCUCGGGUUGUAAACUGCUUUUGUACGGAACGAAAAGGUCUCUCUUAAUACGGGGGACUCAUGACGGUACCGUAAGAAUAAGCACCGGCUAACUACGUGCCAGCAGCCGCGGUAA